This is a long non-coding RNA of Mytilus californianus (California mussel), 662 nucleotides long. RefSeq lists it as uncharacterized. NCBI's taxonomy places the organism in Eukaryota, Metazoa, Mollusca, Bivalvia, Mytilida, Mytilidae. The record is from RefSeq and is a predicted model, not a curated record. The transcript has 3 exons.
ACUUACUGACUGUUAAAUGUGAAGGACAGUACUUAAAGAGACAUUGGGGGUAAAUAAUGAUCAUUUACUGACUUAUCAACACCAUUAAUCUAAGGAGACAUUGGGGGUAAAUAAUGAUCAUUUACUGACUUAUCAACACCACUAAUCUAAGGAGACAUUGGGGGUAAAUAAUGAUCAUUUACUGACUUAUCAACACCACUAAUCUAAGGAGACAUUGGGGGGUAAAUAAUGAUCAUUUACUGACUUAUCAACACCGCUCAUCUAAGGAGACAUUGGGGGUAAAUAAUGAUCAUUUACUGACUUAUCAACACCGCUCAUCUAAGGAGACAUUGGGGGUAAAUAAUGAUCAUUUACUGACUUAUUGACAUCGUUAAUCUAAGGAGACAUUGGGGGGUAAAUAAUGAUCAUUUACUGACUUAUUGACAUCGUUAAUCUAAGGAGACAUUGGGGGGUAAAUAAUGAUCAUUUACUGACUUAUCAACACCGUUAAUCUAAGUAAAUUCAACUGAACAUUUGUGGGGGUAAGCAAUAUGUUUAUUUCAUUUGUUGUUGGUUUCAAUUCUAUCUUCAUACCAACAAACCACCCUGUUUAUAGGACCAGAAAUCAUCAGCAUUAAUUCAUUUUAGUGUAAAAAAAAACAAAAAAUUUUUUUUUUUAAAAA